Molecule: ribosomal RNA, 253 nt
Filed under: uncultured bacterium
Lineage: Bacteria
Description: partial 16S ribosomal RNA
Rfam family: Bacterial small subunit ribosomal RNA
Source: RNAcentral
UACGGAGGGUGCGAGCGUUAUUCGGAAUUAUUGGGCGUAAAGGGCGCGUAGGCGGUUGAAUAAGUCAGAUGUGAAAGCCCUUGGCUUAACCAAGGAAGUGCAUUUGAUACUAUUUGACUUGAGUAUGGGAGAGGGAAGUGGAAUUCCUGGUGUAGAGGUGAAAUUCGUAGAUAUCAGGAGGAACACCGGUGGCGAAAGCGGCUUCCUGGACCAAUACUGACGCUGAGGCGCGAAGGCGUGGGGAGCAAACAGG